Molecule: long non-coding RNA, 2145 nt
Organism: Anolis carolinensis (green anole)
Lineage: Eukaryota; Metazoa; Chordata; Lepidosauria; Squamata; Anolidae
Exons: 2
Source: RefSeq, a predicted model, not a curated record
UUUGCUUUUCAUACCUCUAUGUUCACUUUCUGCAUGGCAGGGGCGCUCUUUGCUUUUCAUACCUCUAUGUUCACUUUCCGCAUUGCGGGGGCGCUCUUUGCUUUUCAUACCUCUAUGUUCACUUUCUGCAUUGCAGGAGCGCUCUUUGCUUUUCAUACCUCUAUGUUCACUUUCCGCAUUGCGGGGGCGCUCUUUGCUUUUCAUACCUCUAUGUUCACUUUCCGCAUUGCGGGGGCGCUCUUUGCUUUUCAUACCUCUAUGUUCCAUUUCCGCAUUGCGGGGGCGCUCUUUACUUUUCAUACUUCUAUGUUCUAUUUCCGCAUUGCAGGGGCGCUCUUUACUUUUCAUACCUCUAUGUUCCUCCUAUCCCGCCUUUUCCCCCUCCGCCUCCGCUCUCUUCUCCCAUUGGUUGUUGCUUGGGAGGUCCCGCCCCUUUCCCCUUCCUUCGCUCCCUCAUUGGUCGAAGCGCGUCCUGGCAGAUAUGUAGUGCGGGGGCGUUUCCCAUCGUAGCCGCAAUAAUACAAAAUAAAGAAUUAUAUAAUAUCAGAGAUAUAUAGUCUUCGAGCUUAUUACUAAUCGUUACGUAUGAUUAUGUUGUUUGAAUAUUAGGUGUAUGGAUGUGUCAGGGUUGGCGACGGAAGGGACGGGUGUGUGAUGGACCUGCCGGGACUUGGGGGCGGGGCAAGGGGCGUGGCCUGGCGCGUGAGAGCCGGGGAAGGGAACAGCCAAGAUGGCGGCCGGGCAAGGAUGGUAAUCGCAAAACAAUGGAAAAGUGAGAAAGCCCCAUCGAAAGAUGCCUGGCUGACCAAAUGGACUGAAAUAAAGGAUAUGGACAAACUUACCUUCUGAAUGAGAAAGAGCAACGGAAGAGCUAUAAGAGCCACGGACUGGUCAAACUUUGAAGACUACCUUGUUACUUCAGAGAAGGGAACCAGCAAGGUUGUAUUCAGAUUUUCUGGGAAGUUGUAGUUUAGGUAAACAUAAUGAAGAUUUUACUGAUUGCAGUACAGUCUCCUUAUCUAUAGAUUUGAUAUGCAUGGUUUUACUUACUGUAGUAAACUCUCCCCUCCAAAGUGUUUGUAGGCCUCUCUAUGUUCUUCACUGCAAUUCUGUGAUAUGUUUCUGGCCCAAAUAUCAGCGAAAUAUAAGGUUUACUUGCAUCCAUGGGGAUCUUAGAAUGGGAGGUAUAUGUAAUAGUUUAACCCUUAAGCUCUUCCUCAUUAAAAAAAUUGCAGGAAAGUCUAGUUAUUUUUCCCCCUCCACAAAUGUCUUGCAGGCAUUACAUUUUUUGUUCUUUUUAAAAUGUAAUACAAUGGUAUAAUUAUCCCCCCCCCCCCCUCCCAAGCACAUCUUCUCUGUUGGUUUCUUCUUUUCUGGGUAGGAGAUAUUACUUUUUGGAGCCAACCCGGGAUUUUAUCAGUAUAUUUAUUGUAUGUGACCUCAUUUGUUUUAUGAUUUGUUUUAUUGUUGAUUGACUUGUUUUAUUGAUAUGUUUUUAUAUUGUCUGAUAUCUGGGCUUGGCCCCAUGUAAGCCGCCCCGAGUCCCUUCGGGGAGAUGGGGCGGGGUAUAAAACUAAAAUUAUUAUUAUUAUUACCUUAAGAAAAGAUGAUAAGAACUAUCUAAUGGGAACAUAAAUGAUUAGUGACAAAGAUCGGAAGUCAACCCCCCCCCCCCAUUGCUAGUGUAUAUCCCCUCUCACAAUCCCUAAUCCAGACACACUUGCCCUGCCCCUGCCCUCCCUUCCCUGUUCCCCUGCCGUAUGUCGUCUUAUGUUUUAUGUUUGAUGUUUUAAAAGAAACUUCUCAAUAAAAUGAUACAAAAAAAUAAAAAAAAUAAACUUAACCAAACCUGACUGUUUAAACAAAAUCAAAUAAACGUGUCAUCCAUAAAUCAAAAUAAAAACACACACUUCUUUACACCAACUUUGGUUGCAAAUGUAUGCAAUUUCCUUGAGAAACCUCUUCCUUCCUUCCCAGGCACCAUUUCUUAAACCCUGAAAGGGAAAACACACGUAAGAGCCGCCUGAAUUCUCACUUGUCUGUCCUUACGGCUGAGUUACAACUCGCUGAGCUUGUUUUGAUUCUGUUUCUAUACAAAACGGUGGCUCCCAUCAUGAAAUCAAUAAAGUUUAUUAUUUCACAACG